AGCGGCGGAUGGGUGAGUAACACGUGGGGAACCUGCCCCUAAGUCUGGGAUACCAUUUGGAAACAGGUGCUAAUACCGGAUAAUAAAGCAGAUCGCAUGAUCAGCUUUUGAAAGGCGGCGUAAGCUGUCGCUAAGGGAUGGCCCCGCGGUGCAUUAGCUAGUUGGUAAGGUAACGGCUUACCAAGGCGACGAUGCAUAGCCGAGUUGAGAGACUGACCGGCCACAUUGGGACUGAGACACGGCCCAAACUCCUACGGGAGGCAGCAGUAGGGAAUCUUCCACAAUGGACGCAAGUCUGACGGAGCAACGCCGCGUGAGUGAAGAAGGUUUUCGGAUCGUAAAGCUCUGUUGUUGGUGAAGAAGGAUAGAGGUAGUAACUGGCCUUUAUUUGACGGUAAUCAACCAGAAAGUCACGGCUAACUACGUGCCAGCAGCCGCGGUAAUACGUAGGUGGCAAGCGUUGUCCGGAUUUAUUGGGCGUAAAGCGAGCGCAGGCGGAAAAAUAAGUCUAAUGUGAAAGCCCUCGGCUUAACCGAGGAACUGCAUCGGAAACUGUUUUUCUUGAGUGCAGAAGAGGAGAGUGGAACUCCAUGUGUAGCGGUGGAAUGCGUAGAUAUAUGGAAGAACACCAGUGGCGAAAGCGGCUCUCUGGUCUGCAACUGACGCUGAGGCUCGAAAGCAUGGGUAGCGAACAGGAUAGAUACCCUGGUAGUCCAUGCCGUAACGAUGAGUGCUAAGUGU
RNAcentral lists this ribosomal RNA (741 nucleotides) under uncultured bacterium. Its description in RNAcentral is "bacterial SSU rRNA". It matches the Rfam family "Bacterial small subunit ribosomal RNA", at positions 94 to 823 of the family's 1533-position model. The record is from RNAcentral.